This 497-nucleotide ribosomal RNA is filed under the name uncultured bacterium. RNAcentral's name for it is "partial 16S ribosomal RNA". It matches the Rfam family "Bacterial small subunit ribosomal RNA", at positions 28 to 507 of the family's 1533-position model. The record is from RNAcentral.
GAUGAACGCUGGCGGCGUGCCUAAUACAUGCAAGUCGAGCGAACAGACGAGGAGCUUGCUCCUCUGACGUUAGCGGCGGACGGGUGAGUAACACGUGGAUAACCUACCUAUAAGACUGGGAUAACUUCGGGAAACCGGAGCUAAUACCGGAUAAUAUAUUGAACCGCAUGGUUCAAUAGUGAAAGACGGUUUUGCUGUCACUUAUAGAUGGAUCCGCGCCGCAUUAGCUAGUUGGUAAGGUAACGGCUUACCACGGCAACGAUGCGUAGCCGACCUGAGAGGGUGAUCGGCCACACUGGAACUUAGACACGGUCCAGACUCCUACGAGAGGCAGCAGUAGGGAAUCUUCCGCAAUGGGCGAAAGCUUGACGGAGCAACGCCGCGUGAGUGAUGAAGGUCUUCGGAUCGUAAAACUCUGUUAUUAGGGAAGAACAAAUGUGUAAGUAACUAUGCACGUCUUGACGGUACCUAAUCAGAAAGCCACGGCUAACUACGUG